RNAcentral lists this non-coding RNA (24 nucleotides) under Arabidopsis thaliana (thale cress). Lineage: Eukaryota; Viridiplantae; Streptophyta; Magnoliopsida; Brassicales; Brassicaceae. The record is from RNAcentral.
CUGCCCACCCUGGAAACGGCUCAG